GUUUUGAAAAUGUGUAAUUAAUUGUAUCCAUUAUUUAACUCAUAAUUGACUAUUUGUUAUGUGUGUAGAUCAUUUGUUGUAAAAUGUCAUAUUGUUUAUACUGUGACUCCUAUCUCAUGUCUUAAUGGCCUGAUUGUGUUAGUACAGUGAUAGAUGAGAGCGUGUGGCUGGCUCCCUCCCUCCCAUCCCCAGCUCAGCCCUAGUCCCAUCUCCAGCUCAGCCCUAGUCCCAUCUCCAGCUCAGCCCUAGUCCCAUCUCCAGCUCAGCCCUAGUCCCAUCUCCAGCUCAGCCCUAGUCCCAUCUCCAGCUCCACCCUAGUCCCAUCCCCAGCCCUAGUCCCAUCCCCAGCUCAGACAUAGUCCCAUCCCCAGCUCAGCCCUAGUCCCAUCUCCAGCUCAGCCUUAGUCCCAUCCCCAGCUCAGCCUUAGUUCCAUCCCCAGCUCAGCCCUAGUCCCAUCCCCAGUCCUAGUCCCAUCCCCAGCCCUAGUCCCAUCCCCAGACCUAGGACCAUCCCCAGCUCAGACCUAGUCCCAUCCCCAGUCCUAGUCCCAUCCCCAGCUCAGACCUAGUCCCAUCCCCAGCUCAGACCUAGUCCCAUCCACAGCCCUAGUCCCAUCCCCAGCCCUAGUCCCAGCCCUACUCCCAUCCCCAGCUCAGACCUAGUCCCAUCCCCAGUUUAGCCCUAGUCCCAUCCCCAGUUUAGCCCUAGUCCCAUCCCCAGCUCUAGUCCCAUCCCCAGCCCUAGUCCCAUCUCCAGCUCAGACCUAGUCCCAUCCCCAGCCCUAGUCCCAUCCCCAGCUCUAGUCCCAUCCCCAGCUCAGACCUAGUCCCAUCCCCAGCCCUAGUCCCAUCCCCAGCCCUAGUCCCAUCCCCAGCCCUAGUCCCAUCCCCAGCUCUAGUCCCAUCCCCAGCUCAGACCUAGUCCCAUCCCCAGCCCUAGUCCCAUCCCCAGCUCAGACCUAGUCCCAUCCCCAGCCCUAGUCCCAUCCCCAGCUCAGCCCCUAUUAAAUGUCAUUAGUCUGAGUCAUACGUAUGAAUGUAUUGAUUAGAUGCAGAGAUGGGAUGCAGGGAUCCAUUGAAGAGAUUUACCAGGUGGAACAAAGUCAUGUAAUCAAUCACCAUUCUCCCAGGAGGCUACUGACCUGGGCAACCUGCUCUACACGACACUGAGCCAUUCAUAAGGGCUGAGUCCCAAAUGGGACCAUAUUCCCUAUAUAAUGCACUACGUUUGACCAGGGCCACAUGGGCCAUUAGGGAGUUAUUGAGGGUAGGGAUGAGAAUAGACUACAUUGUAUACUGUUUUGGUUUCAAUAAUAUAAACCUCUUAUGAAAUGUUUUUUAUAUCACCCACUGCACAGGGCCUUUCUCAAGGGUUUGGUCUUUUUAACUAUUAAACCAUGGCAGCUGCUGCUAGCCCUUUUGAA
Oncorhynchus tshawytscha (Chinook salmon) is the source of this 1424-nucleotide long non-coding RNA. The record is from Ensembl. Lineage: Eukaryota; Metazoa; Chordata; Actinopteri; Salmoniformes; Salmonidae.